This is a small nucleolar RNA of Erpetoichthys calabaricus (reedfish), 126 nucleotides long. Its record names the gene SNORD22. It matches the Rfam family "Small nucleolar RNA SNORD22". Rfam says of the family: U22 is a member of the C/D class of snoRNA which contain the C (UGAUGA) and D (CUGA) box motifs. U22 is encoded within the U22 snoRNA host gene (UHG) in mammals and has also been identified in Xenopus. U22 is thought to as a 2'-O-ribose methylation guide for ribosomal RNA. Lineage: Eukaryota; Metazoa; Chordata; Cladistia; Polypteriformes; Polypteridae. The record is from Ensembl.
UCCUGAUGAUGUAAUUUCCCCAUGUCUUACAUACUGAACUAGUUCCAGAGCCUGAAAAGGUGAACCCACUGGAGCUGUCAGUAUAAACUGGUGAACAUUUGUUGGUGUCCAACUGUCUGAUGGGAU